RNAcentral lists this ribosomal RNA (484 nucleotides) under uncultured bacterium. RNAcentral describes it as "partial 16S ribosomal RNA". It matches the Rfam family "Bacterial small subunit ribosomal RNA", at positions 30 to 507 of the family's 1533-position model. The record is from RNAcentral.
AUUGAACGCUGGCGGCAGGCCUAACACAUGCAAGUCGAGCGGAUGAAGGGAGCUUGCUCCUGGAUUCAGCGGCGGACGGGUGAGUAAUGCCUAGGAAUCUGCCUGGUAGUGGGGGAUAACGUCCGGAAACGGGCGCUAAUACCGCAUACGUCCUGAGGGAGAAAGUGGGGGAUCUUCGGACCUCACGCUAUCAGAUGAGCCUAGGUCGGAUUAGCUAGUUGGUGGGGUAAAGGCCUACCAAGGCGACGAUCCGUAACUGGUCUGAGAGGAUGAUCAUUCACACUGGAACUGAGACACGGUCCAGACUCCUACGGGAGGCAGCAGUGGGGAAUAUUGGACAAUGGGCGAAAGCCUGAUCCAGCCAUGCCGCGUGUGUGAAGAAGGUCUUCGGAUUGUAAAGCACUUUAAGUCGGGAGGAAGGGCAGUAAGUUAAUACCUUGCUGUUUUGACGUUACCAACAGAAUAAGCACCGGCUAACUUCGUG